Long non-coding RNA from Sitodiplosis mosellana (orange wheat blossom midge), 2092 nucleotides. RefSeq lists it as uncharacterized. The record is from RefSeq and is a predicted model, not a curated record. The transcript has 2 exons. NCBI's taxonomy places the organism in Eukaryota, Metazoa, Arthropoda, Insecta, Diptera, Cecidomyiidae.
CAUGAAUUUACGCACACGUACCGAUACUCAUGGUUCACUGCUGCUGCUCAAACAUUCAUGAUUCACUUUUGCGUGUUUGCUGUUUUAUGUUUCGUUUCAAAAUGUUUAUUCCUGUAUUGCCAUUUUCAUUCUCACAGCCUCAUUUGUGUUGUUAUAAGCCAUCCCAUCGUACAUUAUGCAUGAGUGACAGUGACGGAACAACAGCGCAGCAUCAAAUGCUAUUGUUAAUGCGCUGUGUAAAUGGCACCAAUACAAACGAGUAAACACUAUAUAAUAAAAUGUAAUAUUCAAAUUUCCAAGCAAUAUUUCUUGCCAUCACGACUUUAUUUUGUAAAAUUUACAAUUAUGAUUUACAAUUUUUCAUCUAUGCGGUCGUUUUAAAGUCUGUUAAACGAUUUUUAAAUAUAUUGGUUAGGUGUUCUCGAUUAGUAUGUAUAUAUGUAAGUGUGUGAUGAUGAAAAUAGUGUUAUUUCAUUUUCAUUAUACUUUUAUAUUAUUUAUUAACCCUCUGAUCGUUUGUCGGGUGUACAACGCCCGAGGCGACUUUGAACCUCGAAUAAAAGUACCAAAAAACGAAAAAAUCACAUUGAAAUAGGUACCAUUCGAUAGCUUGAACCUUUAGCUAUACGUCAGUGAAAUUUCAUGUGCAUAUGUGUAAGAAUGUGUGAGAUAUUGCCUCCCACAACACAUGUGCGCGCGUUCGUUUCUUAGGGCGUACGACGCCCCAAGUGCAUUUUUUCAUGAAAACUGGACUGUGAUAAGAGAUAACGAUUUAAUGUCUUCGGCAAAUAUGUAGUACUAGAGGUCCUCUACAUCUUUACUAAAGACAGAUAUCGCUUAUCUCUUAUCAGUUCCGCAAAAUACGCGAAAAACCGCGAAAACGCAAAUAUUCGGUUUUCCAUUUAUCACGGAACUGAUAAGAGAUAAUAGAUACCUGUCUUCAGCAAAGCUGUAGAGCAGAUUGGGUUCUACAACUUUGCUCAAGAAACCAAGUCAUUAUCUCUUAUCAGUAACGCGAAAAAUGAUAAGAGAAAUCUCGCGUUUUUCGCAGUUUUCCGCUUAACUGAUAAGAGAUAACGAAAUAAAGCAUGUGGAAAAUUGUAGUACUUGUGGUCCUGUACAACUUUGCUGAAAACAGAUGUCACUUAUCUCUUAUCAGUCAAGCAAAAAAAAAUUAUCAAAAAACCCAUAUGGUGGGAGAUCUUUCGCGGUUUUUCGCGUAUAUUGCGUAACUGAUAAGAGAUAAGCGAUAUCUGUUUUCGGCAAAUUUAUAGUGCCGGCUGAAUACUACAACUUUGCCGAAGACACCAAUUCGUUAUCUCUUAUCAUUUACGCGAAAAAUCGCGAAAAACGCGAAUUUUCUCUUAUCAUUUUCCGCGGAACUGAUAAGAGAUAAGGAGAUGGUGUCUUCAAAAAAUUGUAGUACCUGACUUGCUUUACAACUUUGCUGAAAGCACUCAUCAUUUAUAUCUUGUCAAUUCCGUGAAAAAUGAGGAGCCGAAAAUUCACGUUUUCGCGGUUUUUCGCGUAUUUCGCGGAAUUGAUAAGAGAUAAGCAAUAUGUGUCUUCAGCAAUGUUGUAGAGCGGGUUAAGUACUACAACCUUGUCAAAGACACUAAGUCGCUAUCUCAUAUUACAAUCAAGUUUUCAUAUAAAAUGCACUUGGGGCGCUGUACGCCCCAUGAAACGAAGUUAAGGUGUAAACGCAACAAACAAUCAGAGGGUUAAAUUAAUUAUUUUUCUUUGUCAUCUUUCCUAGGCUCCAAAAAUGUUACCAAUGAAGAAUUUUUUCAAUGCUUCAAUGAUUCAGUAAAACUUUUCCAUGAACUCACAGCAUGCAUUUCGGAUGAUGAAAGGCGUCGAUUGACUGACGAUCCAGAAAGUUCAUUAGCAGUCCGUAUAAUAGCAUAAAUAUGUGGAUAAUGGACACGUGUCAUGAUUUCACAUAUUCUCAAAAAAAAAAUAAGAAUUUCCCCGAAAGUCUCGUACUCCCAUUUUUAUUCGUAAAUUCAGCCAGAACUUAGCAGUAUUAUAUGAAUUGAAAAUGUGAAUAGAAAACAUUGAAUAAAAAGCUUAAAUAUCAAAUAUCGUA